Long non-coding RNA from Pteropus alecto (black flying fox), 2139 nucleotides. RefSeq lists it as uncharacterized. The transcript has 3 exons. Lineage: Eukaryota; Metazoa; Chordata; Mammalia; Chiroptera; Pteropodidae. The record is from RefSeq and is a predicted model, not a curated record.
CCAAGCUUAAAAGUUAAACAGCUCAGGGGCUAAGAAUAAGAAUCUCCUGUUUGUACAAUCUGGUAGAUCAACUGAACUGGGUUUGGGACAAAGUUAUUCAGGGAGGAAGAGGUAGGAAUAAGAAUAUUCUAUAUAUUGAUGUCCUAACAGAAAACCAGUGACUUGCCCUGUUUUAAAUUCAUCCUGUCAUGAGUCCCAAGAAAGCAUUUUUCUAACUCCCAUGCUUCCAUUCUGUGGGAUUACCACAAAGAGCAUCAGGUAGGUCUUUUCUUUCCGUGUUCUUUUUAUGCCCUGUGUAUGUGGACAGAAGCAAUUUCCAUUGCACUCUUUGCUGUUUAUUCCAGGUUUACACUCAGUCCUGAGUUACCUUCUCUUUUCAAGUAAUUUCUCUAAGAGAGAAUAGAAAAAAAGCAGAACUAGGCAGAUUAUUCAUUCUCUUUCCACGCCCUUGACAAAGUCAAUUCUCCAGAAGGGUAAGCUUUAUCAUAUGUCACGAUAAAGGUUGCGAAGAUACCUCACCCAGAGUGUUUGCCUUGUUCUAAGGGAUAGUUGUAACUUUUUGAGAAUUCUGGAAAUUAAGCAGAAUGAAACUUUUUUUUUCUACAAAAAAAAUACUUGAAACGUUAGAGAUCUCCAGUCACUUAUGAAAUGCCUCCUUUAUACCAUUCACAAAGGUGAAUGACAAGACCCAAGUCCUAAAGAUAAGCAGUCUUGAUGCAGAAACAGAAAUGGAAAUAGAUACUUACAUAUCAAUAAGUGCUGUAAUAAAGCUUUUCAGUGGCUCUGGGAAGUCCAGGUGAAAGAGUAACUGUCCAGGGGCGACUCAAAAGGCCUUAUGGAGAAACAACAGAUGGUCAGUCGGGCUGAGUCUUAAAGGUAAAGUGUUCAGAGCAGAGCAGGUGAACACGAGGAAGACCAGAGACUCCGGCAGGUAAAGAUCUGAGGAGUCUCCCAGGCUCCCUGAUUCUGCGGAAGUAAAUGAGGGGGUGAAUGUUGGUACUUUCAUUAACUCUUGCUUUCAACAGAUAUUUAUUGGGUACUUAUUAGGUGCUGGGGGUUACAACGGUAAACAAGUUCUCCUGAAGAUCAUGGCCUGGCGGGAAGACAUUGAACAAAAUGCUGUAACUGUAUAACAGCACUGUGCAAAGUACCAUGACGGAAAACUCAGAAAUAUGAAAUAAUAUUUUGAUUAGAAAAAGUGCCCCCGCUGAGAAGACACCACAUCAUGGGCAUGUGGUUUGGCCGUCGGUCCGUGUGGGAUCAACAGAAGGCUCUUCUCACCCCAGGCAUCCUUGAGCCAAGGCCUGGCUUGGCGAAUCAGUCCCAACUCCUUGGGAGCCCCAUGCACAACCAUACAUGGCAGUCCGAUGUAAAUGACGUAAAGGAGCCAGAUGUGUGACCACCAGGGCAAAGAGCUUUCCAGAUAGAGAAAACAGCAAGUAGAAAGGCCCCAAGACGGGAGUCAAGCCUGGUGGGCCUGGGGAACGUAAAGGCCCCCGGAUUGAAGAACAGGUAUCAAGAAGACUGGCAGAAGGCUUCAGUUUCUUCUGUAAAAUGAAGCAGUUCAUUUAAUAGCUAAAAUUUAUCCAGCUUUAAUAUUCCACAACAACAGAAUAUCUACUUUCUACAGGGGAAUGAUGGAAAUAGAGCACAAAUGACACUGGAGUCUUCUUUGGAACAGAACUUUACUUCAAAACAUAGAUGCUACUUAAUGGGCCAUAACUUUCCUGUUGUUCAUGAGUCAGCAUGAAAAAUACCUCCAGAGAAGGCUAAGUAGGUCAGAUUUAUCUAAGAAGACAGCUGUGUAAUCCUGUAUCCCUCUCCAACCCCCUGGCACCGCAGAUACAGGUUUCUGGCUUUUUCAACAACAGUCUCAUAGCAUCACUCACUUUGUAAAGUCCUCAAGACCACACUUUGAAAAAUCAAGCUGGCCUUUAAAAGGCUUCAGUAUGAGGACAAAAUAGAGCCGUAGUUACAUAUGGUCCACAGCUAUUUUCUCUAUCUCUUAAGUCAUUUCCAUUGAUUCUGUGAUACUGGUUAGUGUGAGGGAAAAAAGUAAAGUUAUUUAAAAAGUAGUGAAAAAGUUUUGUACUUUGACUUUUUCUUGAAUCUGUUUAAUAAAUCCUGUCAGGGCCAUCA